Long non-coding RNA from Ictalurus punctatus (channel catfish), 880 nucleotides. The record is from Ensembl. Lineage: Eukaryota; Metazoa; Chordata; Actinopteri; Siluriformes; Ictaluridae.
CCCCAAUCCAAAGACAUGCAUGGUAGCUGUGGAGAAAGUCCUACCACGAGAUCCAUCACAUCAGGUCAAAUUUCAUGAGGUCAGACUGAAAACAAAAAAGGUGAGCCUGCUAAUCGAGAUCAUUGUUUGGCAGCAUAGUUGUGAAGAAUGAAGUCACACCAGUGGGGUGAGGUUGGAAAAACCAAAUGAAGAUUUGUCAUCAAAAUCCAUCCCUCUAUCUUCUAUAGCGCUUAUCCUUCCUUCAGGGUCACGGGGAACCUGGAGCCUGUCCCAGGGAGCAUCGGACACAAGACCCCCCUGGCUCUUAAUGUAUUGCCUUCGUGAGCAUCAGUGAACGUUUGCACCUCAACAAAGAUGGAUCUCAACAUCAUAUAGCCGCUGUUGGAAAGGAGUCAAAUAUGCAGAAGAUGCUGGAAAAGCAAAGAACGUGCAGGACCUGGAGGAUUUUUCUGAAGAACAGUGGGCAGUUUAACUGCUCAGGACAAACAAGGGACGCAUGAACAACUUUCACAAAACAUAAACACAGUCGCUGAUCAUCCAGGUAACGACACACAGGAUUAAGACUCAAGCGUGUGUAAACUUUUGAACGCAUUUAUUUGUGUAAAUUCAGUUAUUAUUGUGUCUUGUGGACUAUAUGUAAACAUCUGUUAUGUGACAUAGAUCAUUCAGGGCAGGACUAAAUGAAAAACAAACUGCAAUUUUUAUGAUACCUCUUUUUUUAAUAAAUAACAUUUUGCAGAUUCUACAAAGCGUACGUAAACUUAUGACCGCAGCUGUACAGUGAAAAUGUGAACUGAAAUUUAAACAUGCUCCUGUCAUCUCGCUCUACCGCUGACCUACUGGCCAUCUUUCUUAUUAAACACACAGUGACAGAUUCUUC